This 722-nucleotide ribosomal RNA is filed under the name uncultured Neisseriales bacterium. Its description in RNAcentral is "bacterial SSU rRNA". It matches the Rfam family "Bacterial small subunit ribosomal RNA", at positions 63 to 771 of the family's 1533-position model. The record is from RNAcentral. Lineage: Bacteria; Pseudomonadati; Pseudomonadota; Betaproteobacteria; Neisseriales.
CGAACGGCAGCGAGGAGAAGCUUGCUUCUCUGUCGGCGAGUGGCGAACGGGUGAGUAUAGCAUCGGAACGUGCCAAGUAGUGGGGGAUAACCAAACGAAAGUUUGGCUAAUACCGCGUAAGCUCCAAGGAGGAAAGUAGGGGACCUAAAUAAGGCCUUACGCUAUUUGAUCGGCCGAUGUCGGAUUAGCUAGUUGGUGGGGUAAUGGCUCACCAAGGCAAUGAUCCGUAGCGGGUCUGAGAGGACGAUCCGCCACACUGGGACUGAGACACGGCCCAGACUCCUACGGGAGGCAGCAGUGGGGAAUUUUGGACAAUGGGGGAAACCCUGAUCCAGCCAUGCCGCGUGUAUGAAGAAGGCCUUAGGGUUGUAAAGUACUUUUGUUAGGGAAGAAAAGCUAGUUUUUAAUAAAAAUUAGUGAUGACGGUACCUAAAGAAUAAGCACCGGCUAACUACGUGCCAGCAGCCGCGGUAAUACGUAGGGUGCAAGCGUUAAUCGGAAUUAUUGGGCGUAAAGCGAGUGCAGACGGUUACUUAAGCCAGAUGUGAAAUCCCCAAGCUUAACUUGGGACGUGCAUUUGGAACUGGGUGACUAGAGUGUGUCAGAGGGAGGUAGAAUUCCACAUGUAGCGGUGGAAUGCGUAGAGAUGUGGAGGAAUACCGAUGGCGAAGGCAGCCUCCUGGGAUAACACUGACGUUGAGGCUCGAAAGCGUGGGGAGCAA